GGUGGGGAUCUGGACUGUUUACAAGAUAAUAGAACAUUCUCAAAUUGAAUGGGGUCGGGGUGACCCCAGGGACUUCCCUUCAAUUUCAUUUGAUUUGUUGUAUUGUCCCCUACAAGAAUAUAUAUGGUUUAGGGGUGGGGAUCUGGACCAUUUACAAGAUAAUAGAACAUUCUCAAAUUGAACGGGGUGGGGGUAACCCCUAUGGACUCUCCCUAUAUUUCAUUUGAUGUUUUAUUAUUCCAUACAAGAAUAUAUAUAUAUGGUUUAGGGGUGGGGAUAUGGACCGUUUACAAGUUUUCAAUCAAGAGGGGUCGGGGUGACCCCCUAGGGACUUUCCUUUUAUUUCUUUUCAUUUGUUUUAUUGUCCCCUACAAGAAUAUAUAUGGUUUAGGGGUAGGGAUCUGGACUGUUUACAUUAUAUUAGCACAUUCUCAAUUUG
Molecule: long non-coding RNA, 439 nt
Filed under: Mytilus galloprovincialis (Mediterranean mussel)
Lineage: Eukaryota; Metazoa; Mollusca; Bivalvia; Mytilida; Mytilidae
Source: RNAcentral